Molecule: unclassified non-coding RNA, 1951 nt
Filed under: Hevea brasiliensis (rubber tree)
Lineage: Eukaryota; Viridiplantae; Streptophyta; Magnoliopsida; Malpighiales; Euphorbiaceae
Source: RNAcentral
GAAAAUGUUUUCCAUGUUUGAUAUAAUUCCUUCUAUUUUCAAAGAUUCCAACCAGAAGCGUGCACAUAAUAAAGAAUUAAAUUGAUUGCAACACUCUCACAUAACAGUUUCACCCACUAUAACAUUAUCCAAGAAGACAUGUUGCACCAUUAUAUGAUUUCUCUACUCCUUCUCAACCUCCCUAAUCUAUGACAGAUUCUUUAAUCUAACUGUAAUUAGUCUUUUUCCCUCAAUACUUCAAGACUCGAAGUGCACAUCAACAGGCCGGCGGCUAUUGACCACUCUGCAAUUGGUUCUGAUCUCUCCAGGCCUCCCAGACUGCAAGUCACCCAUCUUUAUCAUUCCCUCAACAAAGGCCUUGAAAAAAGCAUGUUGGUCCUUGGAAAACAAUCUCACAUACUCGCUUGUUUGAGGAAAUGUGAAAAGUGUUUGAUCAGAAUUAAGAAACCCUCUUCCUGCAACCAAGUCCUCGAAAUAUACAUUAUCAAACGUAAUUGGUGUUGCAUCAAGGUCUCCUGUCACAUUUCCAUCUCCACCAAGGGGACACAGUUCGUUUAGUUUUUGUCUGUAUCUUGGCUCAAUGGUUGGAUCUGGUUUGCCUGUUCCAGAUUGAUUAUAGAGCCUAAACACUAUAGAGAAACACCUAGCUUGACCAAUGGAAUGUGACCCUGAAAGGGCUACAAGAUCCUUGAUAGAGAGAUUGAAUCUUGCGAAGAGGUCUAUGAGAAGGCUUGCAUUGGCUCUUGGACUUGGCAUGAUAUUGUUCGAGUCUUCUUGGCUCGCUGUCAAGCUAUCUUGUCUCCCUAACUUCACCUUCCAGUCAGGUCCUCCAGUCUGGUAAACAAGACAAAUUGACAGAAGGAAAAAUACAAUUUUCAGAUAAAAAUCAUAACCAACUACUGCUAAAAUGUGGGCUUCAUCAAGCCCUCUUACCAUCUUCCAUUCCCAGACUAUGUAAAAGAGUGGUCUCAUUGGCGAGAAAUUAUUGUAUACAAAUGUACAACACAUAGAUUGAUGAGACUUACAUGAUACCCAGCAUGAUCAAUGGUAACCUGUGCACUAUUUUCGUGUAAAGAUUAAUGCUGUAAUAAUUGACUAGUUGAAAAAAGUCGAACAAAAAGGACCUAUCUCACAGAAUAGUCGGUGAGAAUACCUCAAUAGCUAAAGAACCAAUAAUCAUGUGUAUUAGGGCCAAGUUGAUGGGUUAUAUAGAGAGAGAAAAUCAACCAAAGAUCAAAGUUAGCAAGAAUAAAUUACCAGAGCAACAGCAUCUCUAGCAGCCAUGACAAUUAUAUCUGCACAAGAAACAGUUCCUGGACAGACCUUCUCUAACUUUUCCUUGAUUUCGUCUAUAACUUCAUAAGACCUCAGAGAAUUUAUAUUGGAAAGAGCAAGUUUCUCUCCUAGCAUGGUUGAUGUAUCAUCCAGCAAAACAGAAGCAUCACAACCCUUUUACGAGAAAUGCAAAACAAGAAUUGGAAUUUCAAAAAUAAAAUCAGAUAAAAUCAAGAAACAUUGAUUAAAUAUCUUAAUUGACAUAAAAAAAAAAUGAAAGGGUAGAGAGCUUUUUGGUUAUGCACUAUAGUUUUUUACAUUAACAAAGCAAUCAUGGAAUUGAAAGCGCAUGACGGAGGCAACACUUCUUGGUUCUCUAAUCAUAGCCUUCCUCAUCACUUUCCUCACUAUUAAUUCAGCUUCCGGGCAUGUCCGAAAGUAGAAUUCUGGCCGGAGUGGCGCUGCAGAGGCCAUGGCUGCCAGUAGAAGAAAGGCUGUAAAGAGAGGAGACAUGUUUUGGGCACCAGCUUAGAGUGUAUGAGAUGUGGUCUAAUUUUGGUGCUUGCUAUGAGCUUAUAGGCUUAAUGGACUGAUGGGUGGAUGUAUGUGUAUGUAAUGGAUGGAACAAAAUCAUCUAUGCAUAUGGGUAUGACAUGUGUUGAUGGGUAUAGAAGAG